UCAUGUUGGUCUGGGCAUGCUGCGGACACUUACAUGAGGUGAAGUUGAACUGCCUGACGCUGCCAACGCCGCCAUCGCCCUCCACGGGGUGGGCGCUGGUGACGACGUGGGAAGCGACCUUGGGCGCCAGGUUGUGCCAGUCAAUAACGGCGGCGCGGAACAGGCGUGGCGCGGCCACCGGCGAAGGGAUCUCGAGGGUCCAGCUGUUGGCGGAGGCCAUUACGACUUCAGUGAUGCCGAUCGACUAAACUUGUGGUAGCUGAAGCUGCUUAGGUGCUCAGCUCUGAGCGUGGCAGUGCUGCUGGUGGUGGUUCUAGGAUGGCAGCUUCUCUGCUUGCGUUGCCAUGAGAGUGGCGGGCUGAGGGCUUUAAAUAGGCCGUUAUGGUCCGUCCCGUGAGGAUGAGAUCGACGCCCGGGAGUCGUCGGCGGCUCUUCCCACUUGGGUUGGCUUGGCACGGCAUCGUCUCGUCGCCUCGGCGGUCCAUUAGUCCAUUAUUAUAAUAUAUGUUGCCGGGGUUGCAGACAAAUGUUAGGAAACGUGCUGUCACUCCGUCAACGUUCAACAUCAAGAAGGUGCGGAAGUAGAGCGUGUGAGGAAGGACCGAAGGAGCCGCCAGGGGUCCACCGAUGCCACCCCUGUUAUCAAUAAUCAAGGAGAUCUGCGAUGCAUAGAAAUAAUUUGUAUUGUUUUCUACAAACUUUGGUAUUUAUAUCUCAGAUAUCUGCUUCCAUAGAAAUAUCUAAAAUAUAUUACUUUAUCUAAUAAAUUACAUUGUGUGUUAGCAUUUUCUCAAAGUAUUUUAAAGGGUGUUAAAUUAGCACGCAAGGUUCUAAUGCAUAUGUAUAAUCAACAACACUUAUUGGCACUUGAUAACCGCUUUAACCAUGAUUUUCUCCUCUUCAUGGUACGACUAUCUAUCCUAAACCCAAUUAUAUCCUCUAUAGUGUCUUGAUUAGUGAAACACAAAUAGCUUUAUCAUAUAUCUUUGUCUUGAGCCUAUUUUUGUUUCUCUCUUUCUUCUUUUCCAAGUUGGAGUACAUGAUCUUCACAUUUGGCCACCUCUAUCAUCAUGGAUGUCAUCAUCUAGCUCCACCAUUAGUGUGUACCAAUCCUAUCUCAUAUACACUUAGAACAAUGAUUACUACACUUAGGUUUCACUAAUUAUUUAAAACCAAAAUAGCGCUUUCACAUAUCAAGUUUAAUCACACACAACAUCUGCUUCUUGCCCUUUUCUCUUUCAUGAAAUGCAAGCAUUCAUACACCGUCGGUAUGUUGUCCGUAAUGAGUCUCCUUAGCACAAACGUUGACUAUUCUUUCGAAAUCACCUUGGGUAAAAUAAUCUGUAGUCUGUUUGCCACUGUCUUAGAAGCAAUCUUGUAUAUUACAUUACAUAGACUGAUAGGUCAAAACUGCCCUAGCUUGACCGGCUUCUCCACUCUUGGGAUCAGUACUAUGCAUAUGCUAUUUAUCAGGGAGGAUCAUCCUCCCCCUCCAACACACGCAACAACACAACACACACAUCCUCGUUACAUAAGUCCCAAUGCAGCUGAAAAAAUGUCUUCAUCUUGAACAUUUAAAGCACAAUCCUGAUCUCCUCCUUUCAUAUACAAGCAAGCGUCCUGACUACUUGUAUCACUCUUUUGGUGUUGCACUAUCGUUAUUAGCUUUAUUAUUAACUCCUUUCGUAUCCAAUCUCCAGAAUUAAGCAAAGGUUUGUUUGCUUUCUCAAUUUACCAUCAUAUGAUUAUUAUACGAUAAUCCAAUAAAUACAUCUCUUUUAUUCAUCCUGCAAAAGGUCUAGUGGUGAGAAUAUGGACAGAGCUUAUAAAGUGAAUAUACAAUCAUAGUAUAUGUACUUCGCCACUAAAGUUAAUAUACAAAGAAAUUGGAGGGUGAUUCAAAGAAAUUGGAGAGUGAAUCUCUUCUUUCAAACCUCCGAAGAAACUACUCACAAAGUAAACAUCAUCAUAGGAGCUAUUGUACAAUAGAAUUUGAUGCGCAAGCUGUUCAAACUGCUCAAAGUACUCUGUGACCGAAGUAAGUUUAUCCAAUUGUUUCAUGCAUAAUUGAUAUUGGUCACGGUCAAAAUAACUGCAAACUGCAUCACAAGAGCAGGCCAAGAUGUGAAACAACCAUGCAAAUCUGCAGAUUGUAACCAAGUAGCAGCGGUCCUCCAAAAUUCAAUGUGGCAAACCUGGCUUCAAUGUCUUGCUGAUAGAGUACACUUCAAAAUAGAUCUCACAAUGAUCUACAACCACAAAUUGUCACUAUCAAAUUUGGGGAAAUCUGAUUUGAGCUUUAGGCUAACCCAAGAUGUAUGAGAAUACAAAUGUUGUGAAAAAUCCAUGUAUGACAUAGGGUGUUCUAGAGGCAUACCCAUGACCGGGUUUGACGGGUAGGGUCCAAGGAUCCCUCUUUCAACAUCCCAAUGAGACAAUUCAUGGAGAUGCUCCUGAGCCACUCCAUGGAUGACACAAAUGAACCUGUCCCCCAUGUUUAGAGCCAAGUUGAGGUCCAACGCACCAUGCUACAGCGGGCUGAAGCAGAGUAGCCGAGGCGACGGAGGCAGUAGUGGUGGCGGUGGUCAUGCCUCUAACUUUUGAACCCAUCUAGUCAUCUUCGAUGUGGUCUGCAAUAGCAUCCCCAACGAUGAAUCUGCGGUGGUCUUCCAUGAAUCGAGGUUGGUGAACUUGCCAAGGAGCUGCUAAAGUAGCUUGAUACCCUAGAACUAGUUGUUGGUAAAAAAUCAGCCUACUCUAAGUACCACUUGUGAUGAACUAAGAUAGCUUAGGAAGAAUUAGACAUAGAUUCAACAAGAAUUGGAUAGAAAUUAGAGGAAUUUUAGCGCGGCGGGAGCCCGCGUGGAGGACCCUAGUUUUAGAGUUUGGGUUUCAAUUAACAAAACAUGUUUGUUACACGCUAUUUUGGCCCCUUUUAAGGCAACAUAGUGUCGGCUUUCCAUUCAGUUUGGGUCCACCUGUCAUUCCCUUAAGCUUUCAUGUCCACUAUAUGUUCCUCUUUUUUUGUUGGAUCCCAAACAUCUACGUCGGGCCAGCUUCCAUCACCGUCUACACAUAUGCCGCGGAGUCAUAACAAAUGCGUACUCUCACCUUUGUAGUGAACACUAUAACUUGUGGAGUCUUCAUAUUAUUCAAAGGCAACUGCUCCAGAACCCUUCCUUUUAAAAUUAUACACGCAUCUCAAAGCAUCAAAUCUAAUUAAAUAAAUGUUUUUUCUUAAUUAUUAUUACCUAUCUAGGUGUUGCAUGGGCCUGGCCCUUCCACGUCCAGCCCAAACCCAAUCCAUUUUAAUAUCAUCUAGAUCUGGAAAAAGAAUUCGAACGUUUGGAGUGCUUAUGCUGAGAUGACGCAGCUACUCUGAUGGGUCUCGCCGAGUCGCACAUGACGCCCCCUUGUCAUCCUCCAUUACGCUGAUGACGACACAAUGACACUCCUAUCCAACGCGGGCGGCGAUGAUGACAAAUACAUGUGAUGUUCAUCGGGUUUUACAGCACGGCAUUAUGAUCAACUCCACUCCACCUGAUCCUGCGACGAUAUGUGUAGGACACAGGUUACGAUGGGCUUCAACGGAACUGGUGGCUUCUUGCGGAACUCAGGGCUGUUUAGUUCUGAAAAAUUUUGCAAAGUUUUUAAGAUUUCUUGUUAUAUUAUUUUUUGCAGUACAUGUAUGAAAUAUUAAAUAUAUAUAGAUAAAAAAUAAUUAAUUAUAUAGUUCGUCUAUAAUUUAUGAGACGAAUCUUUUGAGAAUAGUUAGUCUAUAAUUUAAUAAUAAUUGUUAAAUACAAACGAAAGUACUAUAGUAACCGAAACCAAAAUUUUUCACCAAAUAAACAGCUCCAAGCGAAUCGAACGCGCACCAGGGAUAGGAAAGAGAUUAGUUAGGCACGGGCUGGGUUGGAUAUGGUCAGACUCAUGAGGGGCCCAUGUGACAAAGAAUUAAGAAAAAUAUUUAGUUCAUCUGAUUGCCUGUUUUAAGAUCCGCGCAAUUUUAAUAAAGAAGAGUAUUGUAGCAGUUCUCUUAUUCGAAAAGUAAUUUCAAAUUUCAACAACAACAUAUUCUGCAGAAUGAAAACUCUCCAAAUAAAUAUCUAUUCUAAAUGAGCAAACAUUUCUUAUUCUGUCAAACUUGCAUAGGAUUCCAAAACAUAAUACCUCGUAUAAUCUAUGUAUGCCCUUUUCCUUCCCACAUAGAAAAGAACCAUGAGGGUAUACAUAAUCACACAAACAAAAAGCAUCACAUACCACUUAUAGCAUCUCAAGUCCACACACCACACACUGCAUAGGGCAGCUUUAUUUUGUUUUGAAUGAAAAAAAAAGAGGAAAACUCCAGGAAAGAAAAAGAAAAAUUAAAUCGAAACUUCAGGAAGGGGAAUCGCAUCCGAAUCCUCUGAUUUAGUUGUAGGCGUCGGGGUUGGCGACGAGGUAGGCCUCGGCACCCUUGAAAAUGGCGGUGAGUGCCUCCUUAGCCUUUGCUUCCUCGUCCUUCUCGUCCAUGCCCGGCAGCAGCUUGUAGGUCGACUCCACCUUCACCACGCUGCCGCCGUUGGCUGCGGGCUCCACCUUGAUGUGCGACGCCGCGGUCUCGAUGGCAACACCGAGGCCGCCGCCCUCGACGAGCGUGUUCUUGCACUCGCACUUGUCCACGUCCAGGAAAUCGAGCCUCUCCUUCAUGAAGCUGAACGGCAUGACUGCAAGAGCGAUCGAUCCCACGUCAGGCGCUAGCUGUUUGAUCGAUGAUCAAGCGAGAACAUCAAGUCGACUGGGCAUGCUGCGGACACUUACAUGAGGUGAAGUUGAAC
This 4820-nucleotide long non-coding RNA is filed under the name Sorghum bicolor (sorghum). Its description in RNAcentral is "long non-coding RNA (SBIC_LNC001641)". The record is from RNAcentral. Lineage: Eukaryota; Viridiplantae; Streptophyta; Magnoliopsida; Poales; Poaceae.